CCUAACACAUGCAAGUCGUACGAGAGUUUUUAACUCAAGUGGCGGACGGGUGAGUAACACGUAAGAAUUUGCCUUUAGGAGGGGGACAACAAUUGGAAACGAUUGCUAAUACCCCAUAUGCUUUCGAGUGAAAUGGAUUUUUCCGCCUAAAGAGAAGCUUGCGGCUGAUUAGCUUGUUGGUAAGGUAAUGGCUUACCAAGGCGACGAUCAGUAUCUGGUUUGAGAGGACGAUCAGACACACUGGAACUGAGACACGGUCCAGACUCCUACGGGAGGCAGCAGUGGGGAAUUUUCCGCAAUGGGCGAAAGCCUGACGGAGCAAUCUCGCGUGAGGGAUGACGGCCUAUGGGUUGUAAACCUCUUUUUUCAGGGAGGAUAAAAUGACGUGUACCUGAAGAAUAAGCAUCGGCUAACUCCGUGCCAGCAGCCGCGGUAAGACGGAGGAUGCAAGUGUUAUCCGGAAUCACUGGGCGUAAAGCGUCUGUAGGUGGUUUAAUAAGUCAACUGUUAAAUCUUGAGGCCCAACCUCAAAAUCGCAGUCGAAACUAUUAGGCUAGAGUAUAGUAGGGGUAAAGGGAAUUUCCAGUGGAGCGGUGAAAUGCGUAGAGAUUGGAAAGAACACCGAUGGCGAAGGCACUUUACUGGGCUAUUACUAACACUCAGAGACGAAAGCUAGGGUAGCAAAUGGGAUUAGAUACCCCAGUAGUCCUAGCCGUAAACAAUGGAUACUAGAUGUUGAACAGAUCGACCUGUGCAGUAUUAAAGCUAACGCGUUAAGUAUCCCGCCUGGGAAGUAUGCUCGCAAGAGUGAAACUCAAAGGAAUUGACGG
This 830-nucleotide ribosomal RNA is filed under the name uncultured bacterium. RNAcentral's name for it is "bacterial SSU rRNA". It matches the Rfam family "Bacterial small subunit ribosomal RNA", at positions 47 to 916 of the family's 1533-position model. The record is from RNAcentral.